AACGAACGCUGGCGGCAGGCCUAACACAUGCAAGUCGAGCGGACCUUUCGGGGUCAGCGGCGGACGGGUGAGUAACGCGUGGGAAUAUGCCCUUCUCUACGGGAUAGUCCUGGGAAACUGGGGGUAAUACCGUAUACGCCCUUUGGGGGAAAGAUUUAUCGGGGAAGGAUUAGCCCGCGUUGGAUUAGGUAGUUGGUGGGGUAAUGGCCUACCAAGCCGACGAUCCAUAGCUGGUUUGAGAGGAUGGUCAGCCACACUGGGACUGAGACACGGCCCAGACUCCUACGGGAGGCAGGAAUGGGGGAUCCUAGACAAUGGGGGCAACCCUGAACUAGCCAUGGCGCGUGAGUGAUGAAGGCCUUAGGGUUGUAAAGCUCUUUCAGCUGGGAAGAUAAUGACGGUACCAACAGAAGAAGCCCCGGCUAACUCCGUG
RNAcentral lists this ribosomal RNA (433 nucleotides) under uncultured bacterium. Its description in RNAcentral is "partial 16S ribosomal RNA". It matches the Rfam family "Bacterial small subunit ribosomal RNA", at positions 29 to 507 of the family's 1533-position model. The record is from RNAcentral.